Molecule: ribosomal RNA, 791 nt
Filed under: uncultured Paenibacillus sp.
Lineage: Bacteria; Bacillati; Bacillota; Bacilli; Caryophanales; Paenibacillaceae
Description: partial 16S ribosomal RNA
Rfam family: Bacterial small subunit ribosomal RNA
Source: RNAcentral
GUUCUAGGUAAUUAAUCCGGGAAUGUGUCGUGAAACUCGGGGGAGCCAAAACAGUAUUAUAUUCCCUUGGUAGUCCACACCGUUAAACAAUUCAUAUUAGGUGUCGGGGAUUCAAUUCCUUGGUGAUGAAUCUUACACAGUAAGUAUGCCGCUUGGGGAGUACGCUAGCAAGAGUGAAACUCAAGUGAAUUGAUCGGGGACCCGCACAAGCAGUGGAGUAUGUGGUUUAAUUCGAAGCAACGCGAAGAACCUUACCAGGUCUUGACAUAUGGGUGUAAGCACUAGAGAUAGUGCCCCUAUUCGGAGCACCCAAGACAGGUGGUGCAUGGUUGUCGUCAGCUCGUGUCGUGAGAUGUUGGGUUAAGUCCCGCAACGAGCGCAACCCUUGAUCUUAGUUGCCAGCAUGUAAUGGUGGGCACUCUAAGAUGACUGCCGGUGACAAACCGGAGGAAGGUGGGGAUGACGUCAAAUCAUCAUGCCCCUUAUGACCUGGGCUACACACGUACUACAAUGGUCGGUACAACGGGAAGCGAAGCCGCGAGGUGGAGCCAAUCCUUAUAAGCCGAUCUCAGUUCGGAUUGCAGGCUGCAACUCGCCUGCAUGAAGUCGGAAUUGCUAGUAAUCGCGGAUCAGCAUGCCGCGGUGAAUACGUUCCCGGGUCUUGUACACACCGCCCGUCACACCACGAGAGUUUACAACACCCGAAGUCGGUGGGGUAACCCGCAAGGGAGCCAGCCGCCGAAGGUGGGGUAGAUGAUUGGGGUGAAGUCGUAACAAGGUAGCCGUAAAUC